CUCAAUUGAAUCAUCAAAUCAAAAUCGAUUGAAACGAUGAAACUUGAAAGUGAAACCCUAGUCUUCUUCUUCUUCUUCUUCUUCUUCUUCUUCUUCACUCUAGUCUGCUUCUUCUUCAUCGUCACUCAUCAUCAGUCAGUGAUUUCUGCUAGAGGCUGAGCAUCCUCUUCUCCUUCUGUCUCUUCUUAGCUUCUCCUCGUCCAGACGUAGCAAAGCGAUGACCCGGGAACGAAUUCCUCACCGGCAGGGGAACAGGAGACGGCCAUGUCGAGGCACAUCAGCUCCUGAAACGACAGGGGGCCAGAGUCCAGACGCAAUAAAGCUUCCUCUUCCUCUUCUCCUUUGAGGCAUAUUUUGACCUGAAAAGGUAAGCUUUGCUUGCGGUGACUGGGGCAAAAGGAUGCUUGAGAUGAAUGACUGGGACAAAUUUAAGAUUUGUCUCUCUCUGUAAUUGGUAAAGUGGAAAGGGACAUGAAUGUCUCUAGGCUCUUCCUGCUCAUGUGGGCAACAAGGACCUCAUUGCUCCCGGCUAUUAUGAUUCUCGUCAAUGCCAGAGUAGAGCCUGUUGUUUUCUCCAUUGAAACUUUGCUAUAGAGAAAUGAUAUAUGUCUGUUGAAACUUGUGCUGUCUCUGUUUGCUGAAAGUGUAAUGGGCGGUUCCAUCUUUCUUUCGCGAAAUUCUGGGUUCCUUCUGCUAAUGCCGGACAAUUGCACAGGAAAUGGGAGGAUUCUUCGAAUUUUUAAUGAAGAUUCUCAUGGAUGUGCUUGUCUGAAACUCUGAACUUUGGCUUGAACAUAUACAACUGAGUUGAAUUAUUGAAAUUCGUGGUCUGUAUAGUGAUGAGCGCUUUCCCAGAUAGAACCAGAAAGACACUUCUUUUUUUGUUAUAUUGACCUCCUAGAGAACCUUUUGUUUCAUCUAAAAUCUGCAUAUUGUGGGUGGAUGAUAAUUUCUGCUUGAACUUCACUGUUUGACUUUGAUUCUACCCUUUUAUUGAGAUCCUGAUGGUGCAAGGAAGAAGAGCGAUCGCGAGUUUGAGAGAUAGAGAGAAAGGGGGCGAGAGAGAGAUCGAUCGAUCGAUUAGAAAGAAAAAGGGAUGGAGGCAACGGUGAGUUUGAUUUGGUACAUAUUUGAUGAAAUGCCCGUGUGUGAGAAAGAGGUGUUGUCGGUUACAUGUGAGAAAGAGGUGUUGUCGCUGCCUGCACUGGUGCCUCAAUGGAGCGGAAGCUUGUGGUGAGUCCCUAUCCCUUGUCCAUUGUUCACUGCUGUCUAGGAGGUGGUCAUUUUUCAGGUAAUAGGAAUUGGCAGCAAUAUGAGUGAAGAUCUCAGUUUGUUGUACUGCUUUUAGAAGUUCAUUAUGUGGAGGAAAUGGGGAGGUGGUCCCUCUUCUGGUUUUUUCUCGAGCUGUAAGCUAGACUCUUGGUUAGAUGUGUAGAGGUUUAUCUGAUCGAUCUGAUAUGGAAUUAAAUUGAUUAUUUAUUUAUAAAACUUAUUGUUGAGUAAUUU
Molecule: non-coding RNA, 1506 nt
Organism: Punica granatum (pomegranate)
Lineage: Eukaryota; Viridiplantae; Streptophyta; Magnoliopsida; Myrtales; Lythraceae
Source: RefSeq, a predicted model, not a curated record